CAAUCCAUGAGUAAAGUGGCGCACGGGUGAGUAACACGUGACUAACCUACCCUUGAGUGGGGAAUAACUGAGGGAAACCUUAGCUAAUACCGCAUAAUACCUACGGGUCAAAGGAGCAAUUCGCUUAAGGAGGGGGUCGCGGCAGAUUAGCUAGUUGGCGGGGUAAUGGCCCACCAAGGCAGUGAUCUGUAUCCGGCCUGAGAGGGCGCACGGACACACUGGAACUGAAACACGGUCCAG
This 240-nucleotide ribosomal RNA is filed under the name uncultured bacterium. RNAcentral describes it as "partial 16S ribosomal RNA". It matches the Rfam family "Bacterial small subunit ribosomal RNA", at positions 80 to 334 of the family's 1533-position model. The record is from RNAcentral.